CCUACGGGUGGCAGCAGUAGGGGAUAUUGCUCAAUGGGGGAAACCCUGAAGCAGCAACGCCGCGUGGAUGAUGGAGGUUUUCGGAUUGUAAACUCCUUUUGUUAGAGAAGAUAAUGGCGGUUUCUAACUUAUAAGCACCCGCUACCUCCGUGCCAACAGCCGCGGUAAUACGGAGGGUGCAAGCGUUACUCGGAAUCACUGGGCGUAAAGAGCGCGGAGGCGGGAUAGCAAGUCAGAGGUGAAAUCCUAGGGCUUAACCAUAGAACUGCAUUUGAAACUGUGAUUCUAGAGUAUGGGAGAGGCAGGUGGAAUUCUUGGUGUAGGGGUAAAAUCCGUAGAGAUCAAGAGGAAUACUCAUUGCGAAGGCGACCUGCUAGAACAUAACUGACGCUGAUGCGCGAAAGCGUGGGGAGCAAACAGGAUUAGAUACCCCAGUAGUC
Molecule: ribosomal RNA, 440 nt
Filed under: uncultured bacterium
Lineage: Bacteria
Description: partial 16S ribosomal RNA
Rfam family: Bacterial small subunit ribosomal RNA
Source: RNAcentral